Molecule: ribosomal RNA, 253 nt
Filed under: uncultured bacterium
Lineage: Bacteria
Description: partial 16S ribosomal RNA
Rfam family: Bacterial small subunit ribosomal RNA
Source: RNAcentral
UACGUAGGUGGCAAGCGUUGUCCGGAUUUACUGGGCGUAAAGAGCGCGCGGGCGGCUGGGCAAGUCCGAUGUGAAAGCUUCCGGCUUAACUGGAAAAUUGCAUCGGAAACUGCUCGGCUUGAAGGUGGGAGAGGGUAGCGGAAUUCCCGGUGUAGUGGUGAAAUGCGUAGAUAUCGGGAGGAACACCAGUGGCGAAGGCGACUACCUGGCCUGUUCUUGACGCUGAGGCGCGAAAGCUAGGGGAGCAAACGGG